Molecule: transfer RNA, 74 nt
Filed under: Podarcis lilfordi (Lilford's wall lizard)
Lineage: Eukaryota; Metazoa; Chordata; Lepidosauria; Squamata; Lacertidae
Description: tRNA.Ile
Rfam family: tRNA (bases 7-66)
About the family: Transfer RNA (tRNA) molecules are approximately 80 nucleotides in length. Their secondary structure includes four short double-helical elements and three loops (D, anti-codon, and T loops).
Source: RNAcentral
GUCAAGAUAGCUCAGAUGGUUAGAGCAGGGUGCUGAUAACGCCCAGGUUGCAGGUUCGAUCCUCCUAAGGGACA